CUCUCUCUCCCUCUCUCCUUUCUCUCUCUCUCUCCCUCCCUCUCUCUCCCUCUCUCGCCUUUCUCUCCCUCCUCCCUCCCUCUCUCCCAUUCUCUGUUCCUAAUUAGCAAGAAACCAAGUAGAAUUUGGCGUUUCCUUCCCAGCCUUGGGUCACUUCUGAUUGGUUCAACCUUGCAACAAGUCCACUGCACCACCCCUGCCAAGGGCUUCAUUUGGGAGAACAUGGCAGUGGUAUAUCUGUGACAUCACUAUGGAGACCAGCCCUGCACUUAAUGACCUGUGGCCAGACUCACAGCCUCCUUAACCCCUUUUCUGAGGACGACUCCCAGUUCUCCCUUCCUCCAGAGCCUUGAAAUAAGAAUAUUGUAUGGAGCCUCCCUUUUCCUCAUCCCGCCCACUCAUACGCUGGGGAGAACUCACCAGAACGUUGUUAAAGGAUAAGGAAUUCCCUCGGGACUCCCAGAGAAACAAGGUUCCUUGUCAGCUGGAGUAGCCGUAUGACCUGUUCUAACGAAUAAGACUUAAACCGAAGACAUUUGUUGAUAGAAAAAUCAAAUUUGGGUGUGUUUGUGUUUCUGGUAAAAGAGAAUAAACGGGACUGAGAGCACCUCUUCCUUUUCCAUCUCACCUCAAAGCUGAAACUUAAUUUUUUUAAAGAUUAAUUUGUUUAUUGGAAAGUCAGAGUUACACAGAGAGAGAAGAAGCAGAGAGAGAGAGAGGUCUUCCAUCCACUGUUUCACUCCCCAGUUGGCCGCAACAGCUGGAGCUGCGCCAAUCGAAGCCAGGAGCCAGGAGCCUCCUUUAAGUUCUCUGUAUAGCAGUCACUACAGGAGAGGUAUUUGUGUUGUGUGUUUGAUAUGUGAUAAUUCUGUCUCACCUCCGGGUAUAUAUGCUCUGAGAGAGCAGGGACUCUGCCUCAACCCGGUGUCUCCGUAGCCAAUGUUGAAUGAGCACUUGCUGAAUGGACAAACGGACCUGAAUGAAUAGCAUCUUUCACUGAAGGGGGGGAGGAACCAUUCUUCUCCAAUGCAGAAAAAUCAGCCAACCAUAUCCACAGUUUCCCCUACCCUAUGUUACACUAAAACAUGUUACAGAAAACCCCUCUCGUGUGCUAUUUGAUUAAGUUAAUAGAAGAUGGAGCAGAGAGUCAGACACUGUCUUCAGCAGAUUGGGGAGGGAAAUUUGACAAGAAUAGUGAGGAGGCCGGCGCCGU
Molecule: non-coding RNA, 1213 nt
Organism: Oryctolagus cuniculus (rabbit)
Lineage: Eukaryota; Metazoa; Chordata; Mammalia; Lagomorpha; Leporidae
Source: RefSeq, a predicted model, not a curated record